AGAACGAACGCUGGCGGCGUGGAUAAGACAUGCAAGUCGAGCGGGAUUUCCUUUAGUAGCAAUACCGAAGGAAGUCUAGCGGCGAACGGGUGCUUAACACGUGGGCAACCUGCCAAGAAGUGGGGGAUAGCUCGCCGAAAGGCGAAUUAAUACCGCAUGUGAUUAGAGUGGACAUCCAUUCGAAAUUAAAGUCGGGGCAACCUGACGCUUUUUGUGGGGCCCGCGGCCUAUCAGCUAGUUGGUGAGGUAACGGCCCACCAAGGCUUUGACGGGUAGCUGGUCUGAGAGGACGACCAGCCACACUGGGACUGAGACACGGCCCAGACACCUACGGGUGGCAGCAGUCGAGAAUUUUUCUCAAUGGGGGAAACCCUGAAGGAGCGACGCCGCGUGGAGGAUGAAGGUCUUCGGAUUGUAAAGCCCUUUCGGCGGGGAAGAGUAAUGACGGUACCCGCAGAAGAAGCCCCGGCUAACUUCGCGCCAGCAGCCGC
This 491-nucleotide ribosomal RNA is filed under the name uncultured bacterium. Its description in RNAcentral is "SSU rRNA". It matches the Rfam family "Bacterial small subunit ribosomal RNA", at positions 26 to 518 of the family's 1533-position model. The record is from RNAcentral.